AGCGAACGCUGGCGGCAGGCCUAACACAUGCAAGUCGAACGAACUCUUCGGAGUUAGUGGCGGACGGGUGAGUAACACGUGGGAACGUGCCUUUUGGUUCGGAAUAACUCAGGGAAACUUGUGCUAAUACCGAAUGUGCCCUUCGGGGGAAAGAUUUAUCGCCAUUAGAGCGGCCCGCGUCUGAUUAGCUAGUUGGUGAGGUAACGGCUCACCAAGGCGACGAUCAGUAGCUGGUCUGAGAGGAUGACCAGCCACACUGGGACUGGGACACGGCCCAGACUCCUAGGGGAGGGGGGAGUGGGGGAUCUAGCGAAACGGGGGAAGGCCUGAAGGACCCAGGACGGGAAAAUGAUGAAGGUCUUAGGGUAGUAAAAUUCUUUAACCGGGGACGAUAAUGACGGUACCCGGAGAAGAAGCCCCGGCUAACUUCGUG
This 433-nucleotide ribosomal RNA is filed under the name uncultured bacterium. Its description in RNAcentral is "partial 16S ribosomal RNA". It matches the Rfam family "Bacterial small subunit ribosomal RNA", at positions 29 to 507 of the family's 1533-position model. The record is from RNAcentral.